AUUGAACGCUGGCGGCAGGCUUAACACAUGCAAGUCGAACGGUAACAGGAGAGAGCUUGCUUUCUUGCUGACGAGUGGCGGACGGGUGAGUAAUGCUUGGGAAUCUGGCUUAUGGAGGGGGAUAACGACGGGAAACUGUCGCUAAUACCGCGUAGAGUCGAGAGACGAAAGUGCGGGACCGCAAGGCCGCAUGCCAUAGGAUGAGCCCAAGUGGGAUUAGGUAGUUGGUGGGGUAAUGGCCUACCAAGCCGACGAUCUCUAGCUGGUCUGAGAGGAUGACCAGCCACACCGGGACUGAGACACGGCCCGGACUCCUACGGGAGGCAGCAGUGGGGAAUAUUGCGCAAUGGGGGCAACCCUGACGCAGCCAUGCCGCGUGAAUGAAGAAGGCCUUCGGGUUGUAAAGUUCUUUCGGUGACGAGGAAGGCGUGAUGUUUAAUAGGCAUCACGAUUGACGUUAAUCACAGAAGAAGCACCGGCUAACUCCGUGCCAGCAGCCGCGGUAAUACGGAGGGUGCGAGCGUUAAUCGGAAUAACUGGGCGUAAAGGGCACGCAGGCGGCUAUUUAAGUGAGGUGUGAAAUCCCCGGGCUUAACCUGGGAAUUGCAUUUCAGACUGGGUAGCUAGAGUACUUUAGGGAGGGGUAGAAUUCCACGUGUAGCGGUGAAAUGCGUAGAGAUGUGGAGGAAUACCGAAGGCGAAGGCAGCCCCUUGGGAAUGUACUGACGCUCAUGUGCGAAAGCGUGGGGAGCAAACAGG
Molecule: ribosomal RNA, 759 nt
Filed under: Aggregatibacter segnis
Lineage: Bacteria; Pseudomonadati; Pseudomonadota; Gammaproteobacteria; Pasteurellales; Pasteurellaceae
Description: bacterial SSU rRNA
Rfam family: Bacterial small subunit ribosomal RNA
Source: RNAcentral